GACGAACGCUGGCGGCGUGCUUAACACAUGCAAGUCGAACGGAAAGGCCCUGCUUUGGGUGGUUGCGCGAGUGGCGAACGGGUGAGUAACACGUGAGUAACCUUUCCUUGACUUUGGGAUAACGUCAGGAAACGCGGGCUAAUACCGGAUAGGAUCUCCGCCUGCAUGGUGGGGGUUGGAAAGUUUCGGCGGUUGGGGAUGGACUCGCGGCUUACUAGUUUGUUGGUGGGGUAGUGGCUUACCAAGUCUUUGACGGGUAGCCGGCCUGAGAGGGUGACCGGCAAAAUUGGGACGGGGAUCCGGCCAAGCCUCCUCCGGGAGGAAGAAGUGGGGAAUAUUGCACAAUGGGCGGAAGCCUGAUGCAGCAAGGCCGCGUGCGGGAUGACGGCCUUCGGGUUGUAACCCGCUUUCGCAUGUGACGAAGCGUGAGUGACGGUAAUGGGUAAAGAAGCACCGGCUAACUACGUG
RNAcentral lists this ribosomal RNA (468 nucleotides) under uncultured bacterium. Its description in RNAcentral is "partial 16S ribosomal RNA". It matches the Rfam family "Bacterial small subunit ribosomal RNA", at positions 28 to 507 of the family's 1533-position model. The record is from RNAcentral.